This is a long non-coding RNA of Micropterus salmoides (largemouth bass), 302 nucleotides long. RefSeq lists it as uncharacterized. The transcript has 4 exons. NCBI's taxonomy places the organism in Eukaryota, Metazoa, Chordata, Actinopteri, Centrarchiformes, Centrarchidae. The record is from RefSeq and is a predicted model, not a curated record.
GCAGUUGUCUGAGCUUUGUGUAAAAGGGAAGGAAGAACAGACAGGCUGUACUCAGAAGGAGAAGCAGAGCGACAGUGUCCGUGCUGGAUGUGAAGAUGGGGCACACUUUGCUCUGUGUGCUGGGGUUAUUCUUGCUGAAUACACUCCUCUACGGACACGCUGAAGCAAAGAGACCAAAGGCUGAACUGAGAGCUGACAGGAGAACUAUUCCAGCAGGGGGCAGUGUGACCCUGAGCUGCUCUGUGAACCCGUCAUCUGGUUGGAAAUACUUCUGGUACAGAGGAGAGAAAACCUCUGAACCC